RNAcentral lists this ribosomal RNA (253 nucleotides) under uncultured bacterium. RNAcentral's name for it is "partial 16S ribosomal RNA". It matches the Rfam family "Bacterial small subunit ribosomal RNA", at positions 524 to 776 of the family's 1533-position model. The record is from RNAcentral.
UACGGAGGGUGCAAGCGUUAAUCGGAAUUACUGGGCGUAAAGGGUGCGUAGGUGGUUAGAUAAGUUAUCUGUGAAAUUCCUGGGCUCAACCUGGGAAGGUCAGAUAAAACUGUUUGACUCGAGUAUGAGAGAGGGUAGUGGAAUUUCCGGUGUAGCGGUGAAAUGCGUAGAGAUCGGAAGGAACACCAGUGGCGAAGGCGGCUACCUGGCUUAAUACUGACACUGAGGCACGAAAGCGUGGGGAGCAAACAGG